UCUAUGGCGUUGGUUGUAGCUGGUUCCUAGGAGCAUUGUGCACGCCCGUCAUUCAUAUCUUUCCACCUGUGAACCAUUUGUAGGCCUGGAUACCCCUCGCUUUGGCAACAAAGCGGAUGCAAGGAUUGCUGCGUCGACAAGGCCGGCUCUCUUUGAAUUUCCAGGUUCUAUGUCUUUUACACACCCCAUUCGAAUGAUUUAGAAUGUAGUCAAUUGGGCUUUCAUGCCUAUAAAAAACUAUACAACUUUCAGCAACGGAUCUCUUGGCUCUCGCAUCGAUGAAGAACGCAGCGAAAUGCGAUAAGUAAUGUGAAUUGCAGAAUUCAGUGAAUCAUCGAAUCUUUGAACGCACCUUGCGCUCCUUGGUAUUCCGAGGAGCAUGCCUGUUUGAGUGUCAUUAAAUUCUCAACCUCACCAGUUUUGUAACGAGACAGGUGAAGGCUUGGAUGUGGGGGUUUUGCAGGCUGCCUCAGUGCUGGUCUGCUCCCCUGAAAUGCAUUAGCGAGCUCAUACUGAGCUUCCGUCUAUUGGUGUGAUAAUUAUCUACGCCGUGGAUUGGACUCAUGCUUGCUUCUAACCGUCCGCAAGGACAAUUUACUUGACCAAUUUGACCUCAAAUCAGGUAGGACUACCCGCUGAACUUAAGCAUAUCAAUAAGCGGAGGAAAAGAAACUAACAAGGAUUCCCCCUAGUAACUGCGAGUGAAGCGGGAAAAGCUCAAAUUUAAAAAUCUGGUGGUCUCUGGCCAUCCGAGUUGUAAUCUAGAGAAGUGUUACCCCGCGUCGGACCGUGUAUAAGUCUCCUGGGAAUGGAGCGUCAUAGAGGGUGAGAAUCCCGUCUUUGACACGGACUACCGAGGCUUUGUGGUAUGCUCUCAAAGAGUCGAGUUGUUGGG
This 895-nucleotide ribosomal RNA is filed under the name Agaricaceae sp. 347 A. Its description in RNAcentral is "eukaryotic LSU rRNA". The stretch from base 609 to 895 matches the Rfam family "Eukaryotic large subunit ribosomal RNA", at positions 1 to 277 of the family's 3401-position model. The record is from RNAcentral. Lineage: Eukaryota; Fungi; Basidiomycota; Agaricomycetes; Agaricales; Agaricaceae.